UACGGAGAGUGCAAACGUUGUUCGGAUUCACUGGGCGUAAAGGGCACGUAGGCGGCUCGGCAAAUCGGUCGUGGAAUCCCGACGCUUACCGUCGGAACGGCGGCCGAAAAUACCGGGCUCGAGGGCGUGAGGGGUCACUGGAACUCCUGGUGAAGCGGUGAAAUGCGUAGAUAUCAGGAGGAACACCGGUGGUGUAGACGGCUUUCUGGACCGUAACUGACGCUGAGACACGAAAGCGUGGGUAGCAAACAGG
Molecule: ribosomal RNA, 253 nt
Filed under: uncultured prokaryote
Description: partial 16S ribosomal RNA
Rfam family: Bacterial small subunit ribosomal RNA
Source: RNAcentral